CAUGUGGUUUAAUUCGAAGCAACGCGAAGAACCUUACCAGGCCUUGACAUGCAGAGAACUUUCCAGAGAUGGAUUGGUGCCUUCGGGAACUCUGACACAGGUGCUGCAUGGCUGUCGUCAGCUCGUGUCGUGAGAUGUUGGGUUAAGUCCCGUAACGAGCGCAACCCUUGUCCUUAGUUACCAGCACGUUAUGGUGGGCACUCUAAGGAGACUGCCGGUGACAAACCGGAGGAAGGUGGGGAUAACGUCAAGUCAUCAUGGCCCUUACGGCCUGGGCUACACACGUGCUACAAUGGUCGGUACAAAGGGUUGCCAAGCCGCGAGGUGGAGCUAAUCCCAUAAAACCGAUCGUAGUCCGGAUCGCAGUCUGCAACUCGACUGCGUGAAGUCGGAAUCGCUAGUAAUCGUGAAUCAGAAUGUCACGGUGAAUACGUUCCCGGGCCUU
This 445-nucleotide ribosomal RNA is filed under the name uncultured Pseudomonas sp. RNAcentral describes it as "bacterial SSU rRNA". It matches the Rfam family "Bacterial small subunit ribosomal RNA", at positions 938 to 1382 of the family's 1533-position model. Lineage: Bacteria; Pseudomonadati; Pseudomonadota; Gammaproteobacteria; Pseudomonadales; Pseudomonadaceae. The record is from RNAcentral.